UGCGCAGGCGGUUCGCCAAGUCAGGUGUGAAAUCCCCGGGCUUAACCUGGGAAUUGCGCUUGAAACUAGCGGGCUUGAGUGUGGCAGAGGGGGGUGGAAUUCCACGUGUAGCAGUGAAAUGCGUAGAGAUGUGGAGGAACACCGAUGGCGAAGGCAGCCCCCUGGGUCAACACUGACGCUCAUGCACGAAAGCGUGGGGAGCAAACAGGAUUAGAUACCCUGGUAGUCCACGCCCUAAACGAUGUCGACUAGGUGUUGGGGAAGGAGACUUCCUUAGUACCGCAGCUAACGCGUGAAGUCGACCGCCUGGGGAGUACGGUCGCAAGAUUAAA
This 332-nucleotide ribosomal RNA is filed under the name uncultured Sulfuritalea sp. RNAcentral's name for it is "bacterial SSU rRNA". It matches the Rfam family "Bacterial small subunit ribosomal RNA", at positions 568 to 898 of the family's 1533-position model. The record is from RNAcentral. Lineage: Bacteria; Pseudomonadati; Pseudomonadota; Betaproteobacteria; Nitrosomonadales; Sterolibacteriaceae.